Capsicum annuum is the source of this 1341-nucleotide long non-coding RNA. RefSeq lists it as uncharacterized. Lineage: Eukaryota; Viridiplantae; Streptophyta; Magnoliopsida; Solanales; Solanaceae. The record is from RefSeq and is a predicted model, not a curated record. The transcript is spliced from 4 exons.
AGGUAACUCUGUCCACCAAGGUUAGAACAGAUGGGAAGAAAACACUUAGUGUUUGUCUCCGCUGGGAAUUGAAGCCUCAUUUUGAUCAUCUCUUGCCCUAGCCCCACUGAUUAUGAAGUAAAUUAUUGUUGUUCUCAAAAUCCUUUUUGUAUUCAGACGAAAUGAAUCUCUCACCUUUAUUCUGAUAGAGUUCUCGGCAAAGAGUACAGUGUAUUAAUUAUUGGUAGCACUGAAAAAAUUGGACUUUGAUGGUACAGAAAUGAAAUACCGACCAGGAUAGUGAUAACAGCUCUGAGUUUCCAGCUAAGGAGUCUAACCGCGAACGUCCUUCUACUGAGUUUUUUAGAGGGCUACGCGUAUCUCCACCAGAACUUGCACUAACGCUGAAGCCCUUAAUCCGAAGCUGAAUCGAUUUAGUGCUCAGCUUUCCACGGACCUGUGCAUUCUCCUCAACCCCGGGACAAAAGAAGAAGUUUUGCCAUUACAUAUCAUUUCUUCGCCUUUUCACCAAAACUCAAGAGAGAUUGGAAAGAGUACUGAGUAUUAAUUAUUGGUAGCACUGAAAAAAUUGGACUUUGAUGGAACAGAAAUGGAAUAUCGAUCAGGAUAGUGAUGACAGCUCUGAAUUUCCAGUUAGGGAGUCUAAGCGCAAAGGAGCAGCUCUAAAAAAAUUGACUUUGAUGGUACAGAAAUGGAAUAUCGACCAGGAUAGUGAUGAUAGCUCUGAGUUAUCAACUAGGGAGUCUAAGCGUGAACAUCCUUCUACUGCGAUUUUUACCAGGCUACGCAUAGUUUUCAAGUAUGAAGUCAAAUGAUCGCCUGUUGCAGCCGAUAAACCUAGACCUGUAAGUUUGAAUAAGCCUGCCAAACAUUAUAGAACUAGAACAAAAUGGUGGGAUUACUAUCCCAUAUAGCAAGCAAGAUAAAAAAAGUUGGUUCACUGCAGCUGUUUAAGAAAAAUGAAGGAAAUUGUGAAGAUAUGGGUCCUGGGAUAUUUCUUGUUGAGGAAGUCCAUAAGAUUACUGUCUUUGACAUAAGAACAGCAAAUGCAGAUAGGCAUGCUGGGAAUAUUCUUGUAAGCAUAGAAGGGGAAGAAGGACGAAUCGUGCUUACACCAAUUGACCAUGGCUACUACUUGCCUGAGAAUGUAAGUUAUGAUUGUGUUUUCCGUAUAAAUGUUGUUUGACAAAUUAGAUGAUAAGAAAUUCUACAAACUUGUGGUUGCUUCCUUGAGAAUGGUUUUUCAUUUUCACUAACUUGAUUAUUGUGUAUGGAAGUUUUUAGAACCCUGAGGGUACAACUGCACAACUGCAUUUCUAUGCCCUGUGGAUACUUCUAAUA